This 521-nucleotide ribosomal RNA is filed under the name Enterococcus faecium. RNAcentral's name for it is "bacterial SSU rRNA". It matches the Rfam family "Bacterial small subunit ribosomal RNA", at positions 75 to 575 of the family's 1533-position model. Lineage: Bacteria; Bacillati; Bacillota; Bacilli; Lactobacillales; Enterococcaceae. The record is from RNAcentral.
GGAGCUUGCUCCACCGGAAAAAGAGGAGUGGCGAACGGGUGAGUAACACGUGGGUAACCUGCCCAUCAGAAGGGGAUAACACUUGGAAACAGGUGCUAAUACCGUAUAACAAUCAAAACCGCAUGGUUUUGAUUUGAAAGGCGCUUUCGGGUGUCGCUGAUGGAUGGACCCGCGGUGCAUUAGCUAGUUGGUGAGGUAACGGCUCACCAAGGCCACGAUGCAUAGCCGACCUGAGAGGGUGAUCGGCCACAUUGGGACUGAGACACGGCCCAAACUCCUACGGGAGGCAGCAGUAGGGAAUCUUCGGCAAUGGACGAAAGUCUGACCGAGCAACGCCGCGUGAGUGAAGAAGGUUUUCGGAUCGUAAAACUCUGUUGUUAGAGAAGAACAAGGAUGAGAGUAACUGUUCAUCCCUUGACGGUAUCUAACCAGAAAGCCACGGCUAACUACGUGCCAGCAGCCGCGGUAAUACGUAGGUGGCAAGCGUUGUCCGGAUUUAUUGGGCGUAAAGCGAGCGCAGG